UACGUAGGGUGCAAGCGUUAAUCGGAAUUACUGGGCGUAAAGCGUGCGCAGGCGGUUGUGCAAGACAGAUGUGAAAUCCCCGGGCUACAACCUGGGAACUGCAUUUGUGACUGCACGGCUGGAGUGCGGCAGAGGGGGAUGGAAUUCCGCGUGUAGCAGUGAAAUGCGUAGAUAUGCGGAGGAACACCGGUGGCGAAGGCGGUGGUCUGGGCCGGCACUGACGCUGAGGAGCGAAAGCGUGGGUAGCAAACAGG
This 254-nucleotide ribosomal RNA is filed under the name uncultured bacterium. Its description in RNAcentral is "partial 16S ribosomal RNA". It matches the Rfam family "Bacterial small subunit ribosomal RNA", at positions 524 to 776 of the family's 1533-position model. The record is from RNAcentral.